Molecule: long non-coding RNA, 1358 nt
Filed under: Sus scrofa (pig)
Lineage: Eukaryota; Metazoa; Chordata; Mammalia; Artiodactyla; Suidae
Description: lncRNA (ENSSSCG00065076941.1)
Source: RNAcentral
GCCCCGGCGGGCCUGGGCUGGAAGGGGGCGGGCCUGCCCUUCAGCCCCUCGCCUGGUCGACCCCGGAGAGUAUUUGAAGCUCGCGCUUCCUCCACCGCCCGAGCUCCAGACCCUUCUUCCCAGCGCGGCGCGACGGCCCCAAGUGGAUGGGCUGUCUCUGGUGAACACGUCCAACUCCAGAGGCUGUGACUCUGGGGACCUUCGUGACCCCAAGACAGGGUCACACACCCGUGGCAUUUGGUCGCCAAAUUCCAGCCACGAGAGCCGGAGGUCAAGGUUGGCAUGAGCGGAAGCCCAAGGGAUAGACUUGUGGGCCAGAGGCUCUGGCAGCGCAGGAAGCCCAGCCCGUGAGGAGGGGCUACAGAGCUGAGCUGCAAGCAUCCCUUAGAGCCGUGGGUUUCCAGUUGCUCAACUGGACCUAGCAGAGCUGCGGCUUCUAGGACCGUAGCCAUCAGCCUCCUGGAAGCAUCUCCGUAUACACUGAAUAAAAGGAAAUGAAAUUGAAAAACACAGCUCCCUGGUGACACUAGCCAUGUUUCAAGACGCUACUGUAUCAUUGUCAACAUCAUGGAAGGUUCUAUGGGGACGGCCGGGCACUAGAAGACUGUGGAGUCCACCUGGGAGGGGGAUGAGCAGCAUUGGAAAAGACAGUGAACAGGGUCCAGGAGCUAGAAGAGGACACAGUCCCGGCCACCUAGAGCUUGGGGACUGGUACGAUCGAAGGGACGUGAGGUAUCUGCAGCCCAUUUGUUCAUUCGUCCAAUCAGCGGAGCUGAGUAAAUGUCACCUGUCUGACCGGUUACAACAUCACCUUGGGAAUCCUCUCGCCAACAGACAAGGACCCCCAUUCAACCGACUGGCUCCAAGCUGAGCCUUGGAGAGGUGGCUGGGGACAGGAGGAAAAGACAGAGCCCCCCACGCAUUGCCAGGAUUUCUCUUUCCGUAUCCCAGCCUCCCUGCUCCCUGGGGCACACAGGUGGAUGGCGGAGGCAGCCAGUGAAGGCACCAACCGAGGGGCAGGUGAGGUCACUGGGGGCGGGGGAUGCGGGGGAGCAAGAAGGAGAAGCAGCUUUGCCUGAGGGGCCACAGCUGGGAGGACAGCCGGGAAGCCUUCUGGGCUGAGGCUUGUGAGAUGGCUGGAAGUUAGCCAGGAGGACAAGCGCUUCCAGGCAGGAGGAACAGCAUCUGCAAAGGCUCAGCGCACGGCGCAACCUGGUGGGACUGGAGUCCCGCUGGUUCUUGAAACCCAGGGGCAUGAACACUAUCCUCUAGGCAUUGGAGAUGCAAAUGGCCUUAAGCAAAGGAGUGAGCCGGUACACGCUACAGAAGGACGCACGUAGCGUGGUCCUCUUAGACGA